AUCAUGGAGAGUUUGAUCCUGGCUCAGAACGAACGCCGGCGGCGCGUCUUAAGCAUGCAAGUCGGGCGGGAUUCGGGUGCUUGCACC
This 87-nucleotide ribosomal RNA is filed under the name Treponema sp. RNAcentral's name for it is "partial 16S ribosomal RNA". It matches the Rfam family "Bacterial small subunit ribosomal RNA", at positions 1 to 86 of the family's 1533-position model. Lineage: Bacteria; Pseudomonadati; Spirochaetota; Spirochaetia; Treponematales; Treponemataceae. The record is from RNAcentral.